This 489-nucleotide ribosomal RNA is filed under the name uncultured bacterium. Its description in RNAcentral is "partial 16S ribosomal RNA". It matches the Rfam family "Bacterial small subunit ribosomal RNA", at positions 30 to 506 of the family's 1533-position model. The record is from RNAcentral.
AUUGAACGCUGGCGGCAGGCCUAACACAUGCAAGUCGAACGGUAACAGAAAGCAGCUUGCUGCUUUGCUGACGAGUGGCGGACGGGUGAGUAAUGUCUGGGAAACUGCCUGAUGGAGGGGGAUAACUACUGGAAACGGUAGCUAAUACCGCAUAACGUCGCAAGACCAAAGAGGGGGACCUUCGGGCCUCUUGCCAUCGGAUGUGCCCAGAUGGGAUUAGCUAGUAGGUGGGGUAACGGCUCACCUAGGCGACGAUCCCUAGCUGGUCUGAGAGGAUGACCAGCCACACUGGAACUGAGACACGGUCCAGACUCCUACGGGAGGCAGCAGUGGGGAAUAUUGCACAAUGGGCGCAAGCCUGAUGCAGCCAUGCCGCGUGUAUGAAGAAGGCCUUCGGGUUGUAAAGUACUUUCAGCGGGGAGGAAGGGAGUAAAGUUAAUACCUUUGCUCAUGGACGUUACCCGCAGAAGAAGCACCGGCUAACUCCGU